Long non-coding RNA from Sebastes umbrosus (honeycomb rockfish), 113 nucleotides. RefSeq lists it as uncharacterized. The record is from RefSeq and is a predicted model, not a curated record. Lineage: Eukaryota; Metazoa; Chordata; Actinopteri; Perciformes; Sebastidae. The transcript is spliced from 3 exons.
CGUAGUAUUAUUAGCAUGAGAGCCCACUAAGGGUGGGCAGGAUUGGUGGUGGAUGGGUCAAACAAACACAAGACUUUCAACCAGGAGACCGCUGUUUGCAUCAUGUGGUAAAC